Molecule: unclassified non-coding RNA, 238 nt
Filed under: Hevea brasiliensis (rubber tree)
Lineage: Eukaryota; Viridiplantae; Streptophyta; Magnoliopsida; Malpighiales; Euphorbiaceae
Source: RNAcentral
AGCGAGCGUGUGAUGGCCAUAGGUCUCCGGCUCGCGGGUGCCGAGCAGAUUGAGGUUCGGCCCGUUGAGCACGUAAAUCGUCUUUGCCAUCCGAAAACCAAAUCCAGCAAUGUCGGCGAAAUAAUGCGNNNNNNNCGCGCAGCUUCGGGCGGUUUAUAGGCAACAUGGAGCCGGGAGGGAAGCCUGAUCGGCUUCGCCAUCCCCCGCCAAAUCAUUCAGAAAUCACCUGAAAAGCCCU